This 450-nucleotide ribosomal RNA is filed under the name uncultured soil bacterium. Its description in RNAcentral is "bacterial SSU rRNA". It matches the Rfam family "Bacterial small subunit ribosomal RNA", at positions 947 to 1384 of the family's 1533-position model. The record is from RNAcentral.
GAAUUCGAUUAACGCGAAGAACCUUACCCAGGCUUGAACAGCGAGUGACCAGCGACAAAAGUCGCCUUCCGCAAGGACGCUCGUAGAGGUGCUGCAUGGCUGUCGUCAGCUCGUGUCGUGAGAUGUUGGGUUAAGUCCCGCAACGAGCGCAACCCUUGUCUUCUGUUGCCAUCAGGUUAAGCUGGGCACUCUGGAGAGACUGCCGGUGAUAAACCGGAGGAAGGUGGGGAUGACGUCAAGUCAGCAUGGCCUUUAUGUCUGGGGCUACACACGUGCUACAAUGGCCGGCACAAACCGUCGCGAGCCCGCAAGGGGGAGCUAAUCGGAGAAAGUCGGUCUCAGUUCGGAUCGUCGGCUGCAACUCGCCGGCGUGAAGUUGGAAUCGCUAGUAAUCGCGGAUCAGCACGCCGCGGUGAAUACGUUCCCGGGCCUUGUCACACCGAAUCACUA